AUUAAACCGUUGAAGAGACUAGUAGCAAUUUAUUAGCAUUAAAGAGAGUCAGUGGGUGGUGCAAGCUGAUAUGUUAAACUUUGUGAAUCCAACUUGAAGGGACUGUGAUGAGCAGUACGGUAAUUACCGUUAUUAUAAUUAAGAGGAAUAAUAUUUUUUUGAAUAUUAUUCAAUUUAGGGUGGCAACGCGGAGUCUUUCGUCCCUUUU
RNAcentral lists this non-coding RNA (208 nucleotides) under Clostridium argentinense. RNAcentral's name for it is "T-box sequence". It matches the Rfam family "T-box leader". Rfam says of the family: Uncharged tRNA acts as the effector for transcription antitermination of genes in the T-box leader family. T-boxes are found upstream of many aminoacyl-tRNA synthetase genes and some amino acid biosynthetic genes usually in Gram-positive bacteria. Lineage: Bacteria; Bacillati; Bacillota; Clostridia; Eubacteriales; Clostridiaceae. The record is from RNAcentral.